UUUCCGUAGGUGAACCUGCGGAAGGAUCAUUAUUGAAUGAAACACUUCUGGCUUUAUGCUGUUGUGCUGGCCCUUUGGGCGAUGUGCACACGGCUCUGGUCACUUGUUUCUUCUGUUCCACCUGUGCACUGCCUGUAGACACGCUGUGUCUAUGAUAUUUGUUAACACACAACAAUGUUAGUUGGCAUGUUAUAUAUAAUAAUAAAAUAUACAACUUUCAACAACGGAUCUCUUGGCUCUC
RNAcentral lists this unclassified non-coding RNA (241 nucleotides) under plant metagenome. RNAcentral describes it as "partial contains small subunit ribosomal RNA, internal transcribed spacer 1, and 5.8S ribosomal RNA". The record is from RNAcentral.